CCCCUUGCGGCUUCUCCUGCGCGUUUGCAGGUUACAAACAAAACCGACGCUUUAAGGCGGGGAGGGGGGCAGGGUGUCUUGAGUUUUCACCAGAGCCUGUCGCAGGGUUGCCAGGAAGCCAGUGGCCGACUUCAGAGUCACACAGUGUUUCACUUGGACCUACGUGGUUAUCACCAAAAUGAGGUUUCAAACACACUGUCCUGUUGGCUUCCAGGUGACGCUGCUGAGCUUCAGACCACACUGAGUAGCGAGCUGCUAGGACAGCGAUUCUCAAACAGGUGAUUUUGGCCUCCAGGGGACACUUGACAACGAUGCGGAGACAUCUUUGACUGUUACAGCUGGGGUGGUGCUACUGGGUGGAGACCAGAGACGCUGCUAAACGUCUUACUAUGCACAGGACAGCCCUCAGAACAACGAAGGAUCUUGCCCCAAAGGUCCACAGUGCCAAGGCUGAGAGCCCUGCUCUAGAACGAUCUUCGAAUUUGUCCUAGGAGGAUGAACUUGGUGUGCAAACUGGAGGGCUCAAGUACGAAGUCUCAGUUAUAUCUAACCAAAGCUUUUACACAUGCAAGUGUUUAAUUUCCAUUAUACCUGGGACCCCAUUAUUCCUGAUAGGCCUUUGACAUCCUCAGGCUUGUGACCUAUGUUGGUCCCAAAAUCUGCCAUCUCUAACAAUAACAUUUAGGAAUCUCCGACAACCUAUGCUUGUGCUGUAAUCUGGCUCCAGUUUGAAUAUACUUUAGAUACAAUUUUUCUGUAUAGAAAUAUUUAUCUGGGACUACUUUAUUCCACCUAAACCAAAUGAAAAACAUGGAAAAGUCUGUGAAUUGGUAUUGUUAAAAUUAAAUACAAAAUGGAGACCAGACUUGAAAAUUCCCUGGCAGACAAAACCAUUUAAGCCACAGAAGCAAAACUAAAUGGAAAUCAU
This is a long non-coding RNA of Balaenoptera musculus (blue whale), 928 nucleotides long. RefSeq lists it as uncharacterized. The record is from RefSeq and is a predicted model, not a curated record. NCBI's taxonomy places the organism in Eukaryota, Metazoa, Chordata, Mammalia, Artiodactyla, Balaenopteridae. The transcript is spliced from 3 exons.